RNAcentral lists this ribosomal RNA (492 nucleotides) under uncultured bacterium. Its description in RNAcentral is "bacterial SSU rRNA". It matches the Rfam family "Bacterial small subunit ribosomal RNA", at positions 28 to 512 of the family's 1533-position model. The record is from RNAcentral.
GACGAACGCUGGCGGCGUGGAUUAGGCAUGCAAGUCGAACGGUAGGAUACCUUCGGGUAUCUGAGAGUGGCGAACGGGUGAGUAACACGUAGGUGAUCUACCCUCAAGAUUGGGACAACCCAGGGAAACUUGGGCUAAUACCGGAUGAAAGCAGCAGUGAUGUUGUUUGAAAGGUGGCGUAAGCUGCCGUUUGGGGAUGAGCCUGCGCUCUAUUAGUUAGUUGGCGGGGUAAAGGCCCACCAAGGCGAUGAUAGAUAGGCGGCCUUAACGGGUGGUCGCCCACACUGGGGAUUGAGAUACGGCCCAGACUCCUACGGGAGGCAGCAGUCGAGAAUAGUCUACAAUGGCCGAAAGGCUGAUAGUGCGACGCCGCGUGAACGAGAAGCCCUUCGGGUGUAAAGUUCUUUUAUAUGUGAGCAGUGCUUUCUAUGUGAACAGCAUGGGGAGAGAGAUAUUAGCAUAUGAAUAAGCAACGGCUAACUCCGUGCCAGC